RNAcentral lists this ribosomal RNA (467 nucleotides) under uncultured bacterium. RNAcentral describes it as "bacterial SSU rRNA". It matches the Rfam family "Bacterial small subunit ribosomal RNA", at positions 9 to 524 of the family's 1533-position model. The record is from RNAcentral.
GAGUUUGAUCGUGGCUCAGAGCGAACGCUGGCGGCAGGCCUAACACAUGCAAGUCGAACGGAUCCUUCGGGAUUAGUGGCGGACGGGUGAGUAACACGUGGGAACGUGCCCUUUGGUUCGGGACAACUCAGGGAAACUUGAGCUAAUACCGGAUGUGCCCUUCGGGGAAGAUUUAUCGCCAUUGGAGCGGCCCGCGUCUGAUUAGCUUGUUGGUGAGGUAAAGGCUCACCAAGGCUACGAUCAGUAGCUGGUCUGAGAGGAUGAUCAGCCACAUUGGGACUGAGACACGGCCCAAACUCCUACGGGAGGCAGCAGUGGGGAAUCUUGCGCAAUGGGCGAAAGCCUGACGCAGCCAUGCCGCGUGAAUGAUGAAGGUCUUAGGAUUGUAAAAUUCUUUCAGCAGGGACGAUAAUGACGGUACCUGCAGAAGAAGCCCCGGCUAACUUCGUGCCAGCCGCCGCGGUAAC